AUUGAACGCUGGCGGCAGGCUUAACACAUGCAAGUCGAACGAUGAUUUCCCAGCUUGCUGGGAAUGAUUAGUGGCGGACGGGUGAGUAACAUUUAGGAACCUGCCUAGUAGUGGGGGAUAGCUCGGGGAAACUCGAAUUAAUACCGCAUACGACCUACGGGUGAAAGGGGGCGCAAGCUCUUGCUAUUAGAUGAGCCUAAAUCAGAUUAGCUAGUUGGUGGGGUAAAGGCCCACCAAGGCGACGAUCUGUAACUGGUCUGAGAGGAUGAUCAGUCACACCGGAACUGAGACACGGUCCGGACUCCUACGGGAGGCAGCAGUGGGGAAUAUUGGACAAUGGGGGCAACCCUGAUCCAGCCAUGCCGCGUGUGUGAAGAAGGCCUUUUGGUUGUAAAGCACUUUAAGCAGGGAGGAGAGGCUAAUGGUUAAUACCCAUUAGAUUAGACGUUACCUGCAGAAUAAGCACCGGCUAACUCUGUGCCAGCAGCCGCGGUAAUACAGAGGGUGCGAGCGUUAAUCGGAAUUACUGGGCGUAAAGCGAGUGUAGGUGGCUCAUUAAGUCACAUGUGAAAUCCCCGGGCUUAACCUGGGAACUGCAUGUGAUACUGGUGGUGCUAGAAUAUGUGAGAGGGAAGUAGAAUUCCAGGUGUAGCGGUGAAAUGCGUAGAGAUCUGGAGGAAUACCGAUGGCGAAGGCAGCUUCCUGGCAUAAUAUUGACACUGAGAUUCGAAAGCGUGGGUAGCAAACAGGAUUAGAUACCCUGGUAGUCCACGCCGUAAACGAUGUCUACUAGCCGUUGGGGUCCUUGAGACUUUAGUGGCGCAGUUAACGCGAUAAGUAGACCGCCUGGGGAGUACGGCCGCAAGGUUAAAACUCAAAUGAAUUGACGGGGGCCCGCACAAGCGGUGGAGCAUGUGGUUUAAUUCGAUGCAACGCGAAGAACCUUACCUGGUCUUGACAUAGUGAGAAUCUCUCAGAGAUGAGAGAGUGCCUUCGGGAAUUCACAUACAGGUGCUGCAUGGCUGUCGUCAGCCCGUGUCGUGAGAUGUUGGGUUAAGUCCCGCAACGAGCGCAACCCUUUUCCUUAUUUGCCAGCGGGUUAAGCCGGGAACUUUAAGGAUACUGCCAGUGACAAACUGGAGGAAGGCGGGGACGACGUCAAGUCAUCAUGGCCCUUACGACCAGGGCUACACACGUGCUACAAUGGUAGGUACAGAGGGUUGCUACACAGCGAUGUGAUGCUAAUCUCAAAAAGCCUAUCGUAGUCCGGAUUGGAGUCUGCAACUCGACUCCAUGAAGUCGGAAUCGCUAGUAAUCGCAGAUCAGAAUGCUGCGGUGAAUACGUUCCCGGGCCU
Molecule: ribosomal RNA, 1355 nt
Filed under: uncultured bacterium
Lineage: Bacteria
Description: bacterial SSU rRNA
Rfam family: Bacterial small subunit ribosomal RNA
Source: RNAcentral